Nematostella vectensis (starlet sea anemone) is the source of this 865-nucleotide long non-coding RNA. RefSeq lists it as uncharacterized. Lineage: Eukaryota; Metazoa; Cnidaria; Anthozoa; Actiniaria; Edwardsiidae. The transcript is spliced from 2 exons. The record is from RefSeq and is a predicted model, not a curated record.
CCAAAACACAAUUAUUGGACGCAGCGACCACUUUUUUGCGUCACGAUAAAUCUCUAUUCAUUUCACAUGCCAAAAGGCGGUCGACUGUAGGCAAAAUCACCCCCAAUAAGUAAGGACUUUAGAUGAGAUAAAUACCUUUACCACGCCAUCCGAGAAAGCAAAUGUAAGAUAAGAUUCUACGCAGCACGUUUAACCUUACAACAUCUUAAGCUUAAUGCGACUUAGAAACAGCUGAUGUUAGUAACAACAUGAACCGGUCGCUGGUUCUUUUUGCCUUUCUGAGCUCUUUUGUUUUGGUAGUUCAUAUGCAGAAUGCAGAAAAAGCAUUGCGCGCAAGGGGAGAGGCAAUUUCUGAAGAAGAGAGCCGUUCUGUGUUUGCCAGGAACUACUGCAUGAUUUGGGCCCGACACAAGCGCUGCUUUAAACCCAGAUCGAGACAGAAACAAAGCGUUCGAGACUUUGACAAAAAGAAAGAAGAUAAGAUUCGCCAAGAACAGGAAGUAUUGACUGACGAAAACGCUGUGAUCGAUGGCUUUCCCAAAUAUAGAAGAAAACGAUCAUAGUGACGAAUGCUAGCAUAAUAGAAAAAUUAGCAAACAAAGAUAUCCACAUUAGCCUAUAAAUGGCAGGUGUUUUAUGACGAUAGAGAUUGUGAGGGUUUAGUAAACUCCACCUGGUUGAGUAAAGUAAAAUGAGCAAAGAACAUGGCAGACUUUUUUGGGAAGUGGAGCAUUUUAUGAUUUGCUAUAAAAAACAGCGGCUUCUAAUGGCGGCCUUCUUGGAGGACUCAGCGAAAAGCGAAACGCACCCAUAUCCAAACAAAACAUCUCAUUAGUGCUAGAAAUAAAAAAAAAGAUUAAAUCCA